AAUAACCCAAAAUCUUAUCCCUUUUUUUCUCCCACACUUACUCACCACUUAUACCUAAUUAACCCAAAACCCCUUACUUUUCAUUCAUGAAUCAUUCCAUCCUCCUUCUUUGUUAACCCAAAUACACUUCCUCCCUCAUCGACCCCCCCACCCAGAAAUGCAAAUUCAUUUCAUCUUGAGCUUUUCGGUGAAAUUUCGGUUCUUGAGCUUCCCGUGAAUCUCCCUCUUCCAGGUAACAAAUUUAAUCAAUUAACCUUUCAAUCUCCUUUGAUUUUUGUCGAUUCAAUGAUUUUCCUUUACCAUUUUCUUAUUUAUUUCUUGUUUGUGAAUCUGAAAAUUCUGGUUGAGAAGCCAUUUUUAGUGAUCUACUAUGUUUCGUUGAUCUACAAUUAUUUUCAGUAAAAAAAAAAGGCUUAAUUACUCUUUUGGUCCCUUAACUUAUUUUUUGGUUUCGUUUUGGUUCCUUAACUAUUAAAAGUUUCGUUUCGGUCCCAUAACUUAUUUUUGGGUUUUCUUUUGGUCCCUUAACUAUUAAAAGUUUUGUUUUGGUCCCUUAACUUAUUUUUUAGUUUCGUUUUGGUCCCUUAACUUAUUUUUUGGUUUCAUUUUGGUCCCUUAACUCUAAUACAUUCAUCCUAACAUAAAGGACCAAAGUGGUUGACGGAGGAAGAGUUAAGGGACCAAAAUGAAACCAAAAAGUAAGUUAAAUGACCAAAACGAAACUUUUGAUAGUUAAGGGACCAAAACGAAACCGAAAUAAUGGAUAAAUGGAUAGUUAAAUGACCAACACUGUUUUUAAUCUUUUUAUGAUAAAGAUGGUUGUUUCAGUGUUUUAAAUAAUGGAUAAAUGAGUAUGCAAUUUCACUUUUUAUUGUUUUUAUUUUGAUUUGAAUUGAAAUUUGGAGCAUCAUGAAAUAACCCGUGGGAGUUAGAAAGAUUUGAUUUUGAAUUGUUUUUAAUAAAGGUGGAUUGAAUGCUUUAAUGGAGCCAGAGCUUGAUCUGGAUUUGUGAAAUCAGUAUCUUUAUAAAGUAAGAUUUGUGGUGGAAUCUGAAUGUUCUGUGUUUGUUAGAUUUGUAUAAAUAAUACUAUAGAAUGAUUUGGAAUGGAACUUUUAUAUAACUAUUUUUGUAAAUAAUACUCUAGAUUGAUUGCGGUUGAGUUUGAAUGUUAGGUGUUUGUUAAAUUGGUCUGGUUUAUGUUACAAUGUUACAUGUUAAGAGAGUUUUGAAGUCUAAGAAAUUUUUUAUGUGCCUUACCUUGGCUGCAUCUCAUGUACAAUUAUCCAGUAGCUUCUUGUGUGGAAAAUGUAAUUGAAGAAACUAGCUUCUUGUGAUGGUGUUCUAUUUUCAGUCAUUGAUUCUUUAGUAAACAUUUGGUUUUCAUACUGCUAUUGUUG
Molecule: long non-coding RNA, 1397 nt
Filed under: Medicago truncatula (barrel medic)
Lineage: Eukaryota; Viridiplantae; Streptophyta; Magnoliopsida; Fabales; Fabaceae
Description: long non-coding RNA (MTRU_LNC007590)
Rfam family: MIR2655 microRNA precursor family (bases 522-740)
Source: RNAcentral